GAUUAAAAUGUCUUCGACUGGAUCAAAGGACUUUAGACAUGGAAAUUAAAGGUACUGAAAUGUAAAUUGGACAUGGAAAUUAAACAAUGCUUGAAAGAUAAAUUUGCUUGAAAGAUAAAUUUUUUGCAAGAAUCAUAAAUGAAAGGUAAAGACAAUGGAAGGAACCCUACAGAAAUCGAACUCGAAUGCAGACUCAAAAAUUCGCUGGGAUAUGAGUGUGUUUGAGUGUAUUUCUGAAAAGAAGUUUCAACCCCUAUUUCCUAAAAUUUACUAAUAUUUAUAACUCACCUCCAUAACCUAUCAUUAAUUGCGAUGCUGCCUUGUAUGCGAAUUCCUAAGUAACUAUUCCCGCUCUUUUACCCAUGAGCGUUACCAAUAAAUUCCUAACUCAGAGAAAGUCUUCGACUUCUCUAUUCUUAUAACUGCUCAAUUCUCUAUUCGAAAACCGAUUCGAUUUUUCAUUUGAGUAAUUGCUAAGGUAUUGAAAUCGAGUCUGUGUUAAAUAAUUUCUAUUUAACGUUUGCACAUGUGUCUUUUCGACCUCUACUUCUUUUCCGACCUUUCAUUAACUUU
Molecule: long non-coding RNA, 573 nt
Filed under: Arachis ipaensis
Lineage: Eukaryota; Viridiplantae; Streptophyta; Magnoliopsida; Fabales; Fabaceae
Description: long non-coding RNA (AIPA_LNC000743)
Source: RNAcentral